This 276-nucleotide long non-coding RNA is filed under the name Micromonas pusilla. RNAcentral's name for it is "long non-coding RNA (MPUS_LNC000047)". The record is from RNAcentral. Lineage: Eukaryota; Viridiplantae; Chlorophyta; Mamiellophyceae; Mamiellales; Mamiellaceae.
AGGUACUUCGAGAGUCUGUUUCUCUGCCCCAGAAGCAUGCGCAGCCCCCGCUGGCAGGCGUAGUCCUUCUUGUUCACGAGCAAGUGUUCCGUGAGGCUCUCGAUGCGCUUCGUCAGGAGCGCGAUCUGCAGCGACGAAGACCCGGUGUCGUUCGGGCCCUCCUUGAACUGCUCCAUGUCGGCGAGGUUCGGGCGCGACAUCUUGUUCGCCGCGACGACUUGGAGGCUCGCAGCCCUGUUCGCGACCGGGCGCGCGGCGACGUUGAGGGACACCGGG